This 913-nucleotide long non-coding RNA is filed under the name Homo sapiens (human). RNAcentral describes it as "HSALNT0384253". Lineage: Eukaryota; Metazoa; Chordata; Mammalia; Primates; Hominidae. The record is from RNAcentral.
AAAGAGAUGGAGACACACGGUGAGCCAUCAGGGCAGAAGGAAAACACCCGGGGAAGCAACAGUGCAUUGUCUGGGGGCAGUAACCCAGGCAGAUGUGUCCACAGGUGCCAUGGCAACUCCAGGUGGGAGUUGACCCUGGAGACAGGUGUCUACGAGUGGCCAGAUUGUCCCACGCAAGUGCGCUGGAGGAUGUAAGGCCAUAAAUGCAAGAUGUGAGUGACUUCUGACUGAAGCUAAGCACACUCAACAAACCCAGCUGCAGUGGAAUGUGGACUAUAAUAAGUCUGAUUGUUUAUAUUCAGAAGGAAAUAGCUACAGAAGAAAUCAGGAGCAUUUUAUUCCAUCAGGGAGGACCCAGCAGAGAACUCUGCUGCUCCAGGAUGCAGGCCCUGGGCAACCAUUCAAGGAUGGCACCCAAGAUGGGACAGAGCUGCUCUGGAAAGGUCUCUGGCCAGCAGUGUGAGAGGAUGGACUGAGGUGGAGGCUACCACAGGGAUGGAGGAGUCUUAGAACCUGCUCCAAAUGAAGUAUGGAUAUUAUGUCCAGAUGCUACCCAGGGGCUGAAUCAUGGGAAUCAGGGAAGAACAGACAGGCUCCCCCACAUCAUCAGGGUCUGGACAUAGGUGGAGAUGAGGUGACCCCUGGAGCAGAAUGCCAGGCACAGCAGAGCCCCUGAGCCUGGGCAGCGUAGGGCCAGAGUGGGAGGACAGACCCUCAUCAUGGCAAAGGGUCUCAGGAAAAAGUUUAACCAGAAUCCAGCACAACAGCUUCUACACAAACAGCACAGCAAAGAAAAUGGAAAUCUCGGAAGCCUAACAUGCAGAUGGCAGCCAGUGGUGUACUGGUAAACUGGCUCCCAGGAAAAACAAAAUUUCAAAAACUGGGCUGUGCGUGGUGGCUCAUGCCUAUACAA